This 303-nucleotide ribosomal RNA is filed under the name uncultured bacterium. RNAcentral's name for it is "partial 16S ribosomal RNA". It matches the Rfam family "Bacterial small subunit ribosomal RNA", at positions 507 to 807 of the family's 1533-position model. The record is from RNAcentral.
AGCAGUCGCCGCGGGAAUACGUAGGUGGCAAGCGUUGUCCGGAAUUAUUGGGCGUAAAGGGCUCGCAAGCGGUUUCUUAAGUCUGAUGUGAAAGCCCCCGGCUCAACCGGGGAGGGUCAUUGGAAACUGGGAAACUUGAGUGCAGAAGAGGGGAGUGGAAUUCCACGUGUAGCGGUGAAAUGCGUAGAGAUGUGGAGGAACACCAGUGGCGAAGGCGACUCUCUGGUCUGUAACUGACGCUGAGGAGCGAAAGCGUGGGGAGCGAACAGGAUUAGAUACCCCUGUAGUCCCUGUCUCUUAUAC